This 253-nucleotide ribosomal RNA is filed under the name uncultured bacterium. RNAcentral describes it as "partial 16S ribosomal RNA". It matches the Rfam family "Bacterial small subunit ribosomal RNA", at positions 524 to 776 of the family's 1533-position model. The record is from RNAcentral.
UACGUAGGGUGCAAGCGUUGUCCGGAAUUAUUGGGCGUAAAGAGCUCGUAGGCGGUCUGUCGCGUCGGCUGUGAAAACCUGGGGCUCAACUCCAGGCCUGCAGUCGAUACGGGCAGACUAGAGUUCGGUAGGGGAGACUGGAAUUCCUGGUGUAGCGGUGAAAUGCGCAGAUAUCAGGAGGAACAUCGGUGGCGAAGGCGCUCUGCUGGACCAUAACUGACACUCAGGGACGAAAGCUAGGGGAGCGAAUGGG